RNAcentral lists this ribosomal RNA (407 nucleotides) under uncultured bacterium. RNAcentral describes it as "partial 16S ribosomal RNA". It matches the Rfam family "Bacterial small subunit ribosomal RNA", at positions 30 to 526 of the family's 1533-position model. The record is from RNAcentral.
AUUGAACGCUGGCGGCAUGCCUAACACAUGCAAGUCGAGCGGAGCGGCGGACGGGUGAGUGCUGCCUGGGAAUCUGCCUGGUAGUGGGGGAUAACGUCCGGAAACGGGCGCUAAUACCGCAUACUAUCAGAUGAGCCUAGGGCGUCUUAGCUGGUUGGUGGGGUAAAGGCCUACCAGGGAGACGAUCCGAAACUGGUCUGAGAGGAUGAUCAGUCACACUGGAACUGAGAAACGGUCCAGACUCCUACGGGAGGCAGCAGUGGGGAAUAUUGGACAAUGGGCGAAAGCCUGAUCGAGCCAUGCCGCGUGUGUGAAGAAGGUUUUCGGAUUGUAAAGCACUUUAAGUUGGGAAGCGGUACCAACAGAAUAAGCACCGGCUAACUUCGUGCCAGCAGCCGCGGUAAUUC